AAUGAACGCUGGCGGCGUGCCUAACACAUGCAAGUCGGAUGUGCCGCAAGGUGCAUGGCAGACGGGUGAGUAACGCGUAGGGAAUCUACCUUUUUGUGGCGAAUAACGCUCCGAAAGGAGUGGUAAUACCGCAUGAGACCGUGAGCUGGGAUGUUCACGGUGAAACCUGGGGACCGCAAGGCCUGGGGCAAAAAGAGGAUCCUGCGUCUGAUUAGCUAGUUGGCGGGGUAAUGGCCCACCAAGGCGACGAUCAGUAGCCGGCCUGAGAGGGUGAUCGGCCACACUGGAACUGAGACACGGUCCAGACUCCUACGGGAGGCAGCAGUGGGGAAUUUUGCGCAAUGGACGAAAGUCUGACGCAGCAACGCCGCGUGGGUGAUGAAGGUCUUCGGACUGUAAAACCCUGUCGUCAGGGACGAAGGUGGCAGUGUUAAUAGCGCUGUUACUUGACGGUACCUGGAGAGGAAGCCCCGGCUAACUCUGUG
This 485-nucleotide ribosomal RNA is filed under the name uncultured bacterium. RNAcentral describes it as "partial 16S ribosomal RNA". It matches the Rfam family "Bacterial small subunit ribosomal RNA", at positions 29 to 507 of the family's 1533-position model. The record is from RNAcentral.